RNAcentral lists this long non-coding RNA (784 nucleotides) under Physcomitrium patens. RNAcentral's name for it is "long non-coding RNA (PPAT_LNC003992)". The record is from RNAcentral. Lineage: Eukaryota; Viridiplantae; Streptophyta; Bryopsida; Funariales; Funariaceae.
UUUUAGAAUGUAUUAGAAACUAAUAUUUUAUACAAAGUCUUUUACUAUUUUGUAGAUAUGUAAUGCAAUCAAUUGCAGUAAUAUUUGACAACCAUGCAAUAUUUCAUGUUUCUUUAUUACAGAAGUUGCAAGGCUUCCCUAUACCACAUUGGCCUUCUCUUCACUGUGCUUCUUAGCUUAUUUUACAUCAAGCAAAAGCUCUUUCUCUUCCUCCUCGGCCAAUCGCUAUCUAUGCUUCUUCAAUUUGUUAAAUCUCUUCAAUUAAAAAUAUAGUCAUGCCUCAAGAACUUUUAGGGUAGUGUUGUCCAUGGAUUUAAGAAGGAGCAAAUUUUGGUUAGCUUGACCCACUGCCUUCAAUAUCUACACCUCCACUAUAUUAUUUGUAGCCUACACUUGUCUAUACAAUGCACCUUUUCUUUGCUUUGAUUGCAUCUAGUUGUCUUUGGUUGUCUUAGUAAUCCAUGAUUGAUCUUGAAAUACCUUCUUUAUGUCUAUAAUCUUUGUGUGUUCUUACUUUCAUAUCAUCUCACUUGAUUGCCUUGCAUUUUUUUCCAUCCUAUCAAUGCUAUCGAUCUUUGAGGCAAAUUGUAUAGGUGCCUUCUUCUUCAAAGUUAGAGGCUUCACCUACAACCACCUAUCAGCGUAUUUUAGAUGCUCCUUCAUCAAAACCCAAUAAUAUUUGUAUUCAAAAUUUGUCCCCUUUUAACUCUUUUGCUUGUAGAACUUGUGUAUAAGGCUGAAGAUAUUGAGUGUAUUUGUGCCACUUUUGCAAACAUUUUAUAAU